RNAcentral lists this transfer RNA (71 nucleotides) under Asanoa ferruginea. RNAcentral describes it as "tRNA-His". It matches the Rfam family "tRNA". Rfam says of the family: Transfer RNA (tRNA) molecules are approximately 80 nucleotides in length. Their secondary structure includes four short double-helical elements and three loops (D, anti-codon, and T loops). Lineage: Bacteria; Bacillati; Actinomycetota; Actinomycetes; Micromonosporales; Micromonosporaceae. The record is from RNAcentral.
GUGUCCGUAGCUCAACGGCAGAGCGCCGGAUUGUGGAUCCGGCGAUGGCGGUUCGAUUCCGCUCGGUCACC